AAAGAGUAUAAUUAGGUGGCGGCUUUAUGCAAUGCAGAAUCAAAUGUUUUGUAUGAAUCCCUCUUACACACUGACACAAGCUCAUUCUCCCUCUCUUGGCCAUUCCAUCACGAUGACUUCCUUCUCCGCUAAAGUUCAAACUGUUUCCAUACCAUAUACCCAACUAAAGGACAAAAAUGCUGAUUUAUCCGCAAAAAUUGAACAAGGUUUUGGCCCAAAUGGUCUUGGAAUUCUAUCCAUAUCCGAGGUUCCUGGUUAUUCACUGUGGCGACAGAAUCUUCUCCAGCUUGGUCCCAGGUUAGCCAACCUUCGUGAAGAUGUGAAGAGGGAGAUUGAAGAUCCUAAAAGCAGGUACAACUUUGGAUGGAGUCAUGGAAAAGAAAAGCUUGAAUCUGGAAAGCUAGAUUUGCUAAAAGGAUCUUUCUAUGCAAAUCCAAUAUUAGAUGUACCUACGACAGAGCAAUCCCUCAUUGAACGGUAUCCAUCAUAUUGUGGGUCAAAUAUAUGGCCUCAUAAGGCUCUGCCAGAACUUGAAACAGCCUUUAAAACUCUUGGAAAGCUGAUACUGGAUGUGGGAUUACUCUUGGCGUAUCACUGUGAUCGCUAUGCAUCCAGAGAGAUGGUGAUGCUUGAGGGUGAAGGCCUUGAACAAACACUUGUUCAUUCUAGAUGUCAUAAAGGUCGUCUGCUUUACUAUUUUCCAGCUCAUCAUAGCAGCCCCGCCCAUGCUUCUAUGUCAUCAUGGUGUGGAUGGCAUACAGAUCACGGUUCUCUUACGGGUCUUACUCGUGGCAUGUUUACUAGAGACUCUGUAGAUAUACAUAGCCCUGAUAGUGAUGCUGGCCUAUACAUAAAAACACGAACUGGUCAAAUAGUCAAGGUGGAGUAUGGGGUGGAUGAAAUAGCAUACCAAAUAGGUGAAACAACUGAGAUCCUCUCAAGUGGUCGACUUUGUGCGACACCACACUGUGUUCGGGAAAGAUGACUUUGGAGCCCAUAAUUCUGACAUGGGGCCUCGGUGGACAUCAAAAACAUGAGAAGACGACCGAAGUAGUUAACAAAUUAUGAGAUCCAGAAUGAGAGCAAUUGACCAGUAAAAUUGCAGAUAAUGUGAAAUCUGGCCAAUUGCUCAAGACAUGGUAUAAGGCUCAAAAACUUGUAAGCCAAUUAUUUUUCUACCAAAAAGCUUCUAUCUUGCUGCUUUCUUUCUAUAAUAUUCAUUUGUCUUAGACAUGGAAGCCUAUCACUCAAAUUAUGCCAGUCAAGUGCUUGUGUGUUCUGUAUGUAUUUAUAUUUGGGUGGACGGAGUAAUUCGUGUUUUCCAGUUCUUGAAAAAUUAGAGGUUUUAUUUCCGAAAGAAGAGAAGUUCUUGAAAUGUUUGGUGUUGUAACUUAUAUCUGUUCAUACUUUUUAACAGGCACCAAGGGGUGAUGCAGCAUCUGGUGUUGAUCGCACAACAUUUGCAUUAUUCAUGCAACCUGAUUGGGACCAAAAGCUUUCUUUUCCAGGAGAGGUGCAUAUUCAUCGGGAGUUGAUUCAAUCCAAUGAGUCGCUUACUUUUGGAGA
Molecule: RNA transcript, 1566 nt
Organism: Solanum pennellii
Lineage: Eukaryota; Viridiplantae; Streptophyta; Magnoliopsida; Solanales; Solanaceae
Exons: 15
Source: RefSeq, a predicted model, not a curated record